GACGAACGCUGGCGGCGUGCUUAACACAUGCAAGUCGAACGGAAAGGCCCUGCUUUUGUGGGGUGCUCGAGUGGCGAACGGGUGAGUAACACGUGAGUAACCUGCCCUUGACUUUGGGAUAACUUCAGGAAACUGGGGCUAAUACCGGAUAGGAGCUCCUGCUGCAUGGUGGGGGUUGGAAAGUUUCGGCGGUUGGGGAUGGACUCGCGGCUUAUCAGCUUGUUGGUGGGGUAGUGGCUUACCAAGGCUUUGACGGGUAGCCGGCAUGAGAGGGUGACCGGCCACAUAGGGAAUGAGAUACGGCCCAGACUCCUACGGGAGGCAGCAGUGGGGAAGAUUGCACAAUGGGCGGAAGCCUGAUGCAGCAACGCCGCGUGCGGGAUAACGGCCUUCGGGUUGUAAACCGCUUUCGCCUGUGACGAAGCGUGAGUGACGGUAAUGGGUAAAGAAGCACCGGCUAACUACGUG
RNAcentral lists this ribosomal RNA (468 nucleotides) under uncultured bacterium. Its description in RNAcentral is "partial 16S ribosomal RNA". It matches the Rfam family "Bacterial small subunit ribosomal RNA", at positions 28 to 507 of the family's 1533-position model. The record is from RNAcentral.